RNAcentral lists this long non-coding RNA (197 nucleotides) under Dasypus novemcinctus (nine-banded armadillo). RNAcentral's name for it is "lncRNA (ENSDNOG00000052938.1)". Lineage: Eukaryota; Metazoa; Chordata; Mammalia; Cingulata; Dasypodidae. The record is from RNAcentral.
CCUACGUGCGCGCUAUGCGUCAGGUGUGGGCAGAUGUUCGUGGAAGGAGAGGAGAUGUACCUGCAAGGCUCGUCCAUCUGGCACCCGGCGUGUAGACAAGCCGCCAGGACCGAAGAUAAAAACAAGGUGGGUGGCGUUUCCUCGUUUCUCCGGUGGAGGCCGCGUGGCUGUGCGAACGCUUAGCCGGACGCCGGGCU